This is a long non-coding RNA of Archocentrus centrarchus (flier cichlid), 169 nucleotides long. RefSeq lists it as uncharacterized. NCBI's taxonomy places the organism in Eukaryota, Metazoa, Chordata, Actinopteri, Cichliformes, Cichlidae. The record is from RefSeq and is a predicted model, not a curated record. The transcript has 3 exons.
AGCCUGGGAACUCCUGUCCGAGUCCCUCUUACAAAGAGUUUUGUGGCCAGUCAUGGAGGAGGAUGAAGAGGAGGACUGCUCUUUGGAUGAUAAAUGUAGAGUUGCAGGGUAGUUGAGGAACUUCAUUGAAAAUGCAACCUGCAAUCAGCUCAAGGAUCUCCUCAAGUUU